AGCGAACGCUGGCGGCAGGCUUAACACAUGCAAGUCGAGCGCCCCGCAAGGGGAGCGGCAGACGGGAGAGUAACACGUGGGAACAUACCUUUUGGUUCGGAACAACUGAGGGAAACUUCAGCUAAUACCGGAUAAGCCCUUACGGGGAAAGAUUUAUCGCCGAAAGAUUGGCCCGCGUCUGAUUAGCUAGUUGGUGAGGUAACGGCUCACCAAGGCGACGAUCAGUAGCUGGUCUGAGAGGAUGAUCAGCCACACUGGGACUGAGACACGGCCCAGACUCCUACGGGAGGCAGCAGUGGGGAAUAUUGGACAAUGGGGGCAACCCUGAUCCAGCCAUGCCGCGUGAGUGAUGAAGGCCUUAGGGUUGUAAAGCUCUUUUGCCCGGGAAGAUAAUGACGGUACCGGGAGAAUAAGCCCCGGCUAACUUCGUG
This 431-nucleotide ribosomal RNA is filed under the name uncultured bacterium. Its description in RNAcentral is "partial 16S ribosomal RNA". It matches the Rfam family "Bacterial small subunit ribosomal RNA", at positions 29 to 507 of the family's 1533-position model. The record is from RNAcentral.